RNAcentral lists this ribosomal RNA (1101 nucleotides) under Salmonella enterica. RNAcentral describes it as "partial 23S ribosomal RNA". It matches the Rfam family "Bacterial large subunit ribosomal RNA", at positions 657 to 1756 of the family's 2925-position model. The record is from RNAcentral. RNAcentral also lists the same sequence under 1 other name. Lineage: Bacteria; Pseudomonadati; Pseudomonadota; Gammaproteobacteria; Enterobacterales; Enterobacteriaceae.
AUAGGGGAGCCGUAGGGAAACCGAGUCUUAACCGGGCGUUAAGUUGCAGGGUAUAGACCCGAAACCCGGUGAUCUAGCCAUGGGCAGGUUGAAGGUUGGGUAACACUAACUGGAGGACCGAACCGACUAAUGUUGAAAAAUUAGCGGAUGACUUGUGGCUGGGGGUGAAAGGCCAAUCAAACCGGGAGAUAGCUGGUUCUCCCCGAAAGCUAUUUAGGUAGCGCCUCGUGAAUUCAUCUUCGGGGGUAGAGCACUGUUUCGGCUAGGGGGUCAUCCCGACUUACCAACCCGAUGCAAACUGCGAAUACCGGAGAAUGUUAUCACGGGAGACACACGGCGGGUGCUAACGUCCGUCGUGAAGAGGGAAACAACCCAGACCGCCAGCUAAGGUCCCAAAGUCAUGGUUAAGUGGGAAACGAUGUGGGAAGGCCCAGACAGCCAGGAUGUUGGCUUAGAAGCAGCCAUCAUUUAAAGAAAGCGUAAUAGCUCACUGGUCGAGUCGGCCUGCGCGGAAGAUGUAACGGGGCUAAACCAUGCACCGAAGCUGCGGCAGCGACACUGUGUGUUGUUGGGUAGGGGAGCGUUCUGUAAGCCUGCGAAGGUGGCCUGUGAGGGUUGCUGGAGGUAUCAGAAGUGCGAAUGCUGACAUAAGUAACGAUAAAGCGGGUGAAAAGCCCGCUCGCCGGAAGACCAAGGGUUCCUGUCCAACGUUAAUCGGGGCAGGGUGAGUCGACCCCUAAGGCGAGGCCGAAAGGCGUAGUCGAUGGGAAACAGGUUAAUAUUCCUGUACUUGGUGUUACUGCGAAGGGGGGACGGAGAAGGCUAUGUUGGCCGGGCGACGGUUGUCCCGGUUUAAGCGUGUAGGUGUGUGUUCCAGGUAAAUCCGGUUCACUUUAACACUGAUGCGUGAUGACGAGGCACUACGGUGCUGAAGCAACAAAUGCCCUGCUUCCAGGAAAAGCCUCUAAGCAUCAGGUAACAUCAAAUCGUACCCCAAACCGACACAGGUGGUCAGGUAGAGAAUACCAAGGCGCUUGAGAGAACUCGGGUGAAGGAACUAGGCAAAAUGGUGCCGUAACUUCGGGAGAAGGCACGCUGACA